RNAcentral lists this ribosomal RNA (497 nucleotides) under uncultured bacterium. RNAcentral describes it as "partial 16S ribosomal RNA". It matches the Rfam family "Bacterial small subunit ribosomal RNA", at positions 28 to 507 of the family's 1533-position model. The record is from RNAcentral.
GACGAACGCUGGCGGCGUGCCUAAUACAUGCAAGUUGAGCGCUGAAGGUUGGUACUUGUACCAACUGGAUGAGCAGCGAACGGGUGAGUAACGCGUGGGGAAUCUGCCUUUGAGCGGGGGACAACAUUUGGAAACGAAUGCUAAUACCGCAUAAAAACUUUAAACACAAGUUUUAAGUUUGAAAGAUGCAAUUGCAUCACUCAAAGAUGAUCCCGCGUUGUAUUAGCUAGUUGGUGAGGUAAAGGCUCACCAAGGCGAUGAUACAUAGCCGACCUGAGAGGGUGAUCGGCCACAUUGGGACUGAGACACGGCCCAAACUCCUACGGGAGGCAGCAGUAGGGAAUCUUCGGCAAUGGACGAAAGUCUGACCGAGCAACGCCGCGUGAGUGAAGAAGGUUUUCGGAUCGUAAAACUCUGUUGGUAGAGAAGAACGUUGGUGAGAGUGGUAAGCUCAUCAAGUGACGGUAACUACCCAGAAAGGGACGGCUAACUACGUG